This 614-nucleotide ribosomal RNA is filed under the name Leuconostoc lactis. Its description in RNAcentral is "bacterial SSU rRNA". It matches the Rfam family "Bacterial small subunit ribosomal RNA", at positions 79 to 679 of the family's 1533-position model. The record is from RNAcentral. Lineage: Bacteria; Bacillati; Bacillota; Bacilli; Lactobacillales; Lactobacillaceae.
CUUGCACCUUUCAAGCGAGUGGCGAACGGGUGAGUAACACGUGGAUAACCUGCCUCAAGGCUGGGGAUAACAUUUGGAAACAGAUGCUAAUACCGAAUAAAACUUAGUAUCGCAUGAUACAAAGUUGAAAGGCGCUACGGCGUCACCUAGAGAUGGGUCCGCGGUGCAUUAGUUAGUUGGUGGGGUAAAGGCCUACCAAGACAAUGAUGCAUAGCCGAGUUGAGAGACUGAUCGGCCACAUUGGGACUGAGACACGGCCCAAACUCCUACGGGAGGCUGCAGUAGGGAAUCUUCCACAAUGGGCGAAAGCCUGAUGGAGCAACGCCGCGUGUGUGAUGAAGGCUUUAGGGUCGUAAAGCACUGUUGUAUGGGAAGAAAUGCUAGAAUAGGGAAUGAUUCUAGUUCGACGGUACCAUACCAGAAAGGGACGGCUAAAUACGUGCCAGCAGCCGCGGUAAUACGUAUGUCCCGAGCGUUAUCCGGAUUUAUUGGGCGUAAAGCGAGCGCAGACGGUUGAUUAAGUCUGAUGUGAAAGCCCGGAGCUCAACUCCGGAAUGGCAUUGGAAACUGGUUAACUUGAGUGUUGUAGAGGUAAGUGGAACUCCUGGGGAAAC